Molecule: ribosomal RNA, 398 nt
Filed under: Triticum aestivum (bread wheat)
Lineage: Eukaryota; Viridiplantae; Streptophyta; Magnoliopsida; Poales; Poaceae
Description: partial small subunit ribosomal RNA
Source: RNAcentral
CUCGAUCGCUGUCCCUCUGACAACCCCUGACCCUGGCACGUACUACCUGAGAUGAUAGAACUACUUCCUUCACUACUUCAACGAAAACGUAGUACGAACAGAGGAUCGGUUCUUGACGAUGAGGUAGUAGCGUCCGAACCGGUAGAUAGAAAACGACGUAAUAAUGCAUAAAUGGGGAGAGAAAAGUUCAACACAGGGUUCCUCGAGGAACAUACACUACGAACACUCAAUCGAUUUGUAUGUUCCCCAAGGAUAGGAUCAUAUCCAAAUUCUUCACGGUUUGGUAAACUUUACUAAGUGAGCCUACAAACCCCUGGGACACUCCAAGCAAGGUAAAGACCCGUGGCUACCAAACACUGAAAAUAACUAACGAAAUCAGCAAUGUGAACCGAAAUAGA